UACGGAGGGUGCGAGCGUUGUCCGGAAUCACUGGGCGUAAAGGCGCGUAGGCGGCCCGGUAAGCGUGCGGUGAAAGUCCGGGGCUCAACCCCGGAUCGGCCGUGCGGACUGUCGGGCUCGAGCAGCUGUAGGGGCGGGUGGAACUCCGGGUGUAGCGGUGGAAUGCGUAGAGAUCCGGAAGAACACCGGUGGCGAAGGCGGCCCGCUGGGCAGUGGCUGACGCUGAGGCGCGACAGCGUGGGGGAGCAAACAGG
RNAcentral lists this ribosomal RNA (254 nucleotides) under uncultured bacterium. Its description in RNAcentral is "partial 16S ribosomal RNA". It matches the Rfam family "Bacterial small subunit ribosomal RNA", at positions 524 to 776 of the family's 1533-position model. The record is from RNAcentral.